UACGUAGGGGGCGAGCGUUGCCCGGAUUCAUUGGGCGUAAAGGGCGCGUAGGCGGUCACGGUGCGUCCCGCGUGAAAUCUCCCGGCUCACCUGGGAGGGGUCGCGGGAAACGACCGGACUGGAGCACGGUAGGGGGCCAUGGAAUUCCCGGUGUAGUGGUGAAAUGCGUAGAUAUCAGGAGGAAUACCGAUGGCGAAGGCAGGUCUCUGGGCCUUGCCUGACGCUGAGGCGCGAAAGCUAGGGGAGCGAACAGG
RNAcentral lists this ribosomal RNA (254 nucleotides) under uncultured bacterium. Its description in RNAcentral is "partial 16S ribosomal RNA". It matches the Rfam family "Bacterial small subunit ribosomal RNA", at positions 524 to 776 of the family's 1533-position model. The record is from RNAcentral.